AUCCAACUGACAAGUCCCAAAUAGGACGAAACACGCGCCCUGGAU
RNAcentral lists this non-coding RNA (45 nucleotides) under Schistosoma mansoni. The record is from RNAcentral. Lineage: Eukaryota; Metazoa; Platyhelminthes; Trematoda; Strigeidida; Schistosomatidae.